This 465-nucleotide ribosomal RNA is filed under the name uncultured bacterium. RNAcentral's name for it is "partial 16S ribosomal RNA". It matches the Rfam family "Bacterial small subunit ribosomal RNA", at positions 339 to 795 of the family's 1533-position model. The record is from RNAcentral.
CUACGGGAGGCUGCAGUGGGGAAUAUUGGACAAUGGGGGAAACCCUGAUCCAGCAAUGCCGCGUGUGUGAAGAAGGCCUGCGGGUUGUAAAGCACUUUCGGUUGGGAGGACUGCUUCUAGCACUAAUAUUGUUGGAAGUUGACGUUACCUUCAGAAGAAGCACCGGCUAACUCCGUGCCAGCAGCCGCGGUAAUACGGAGGGUGCAAGCGUUAAUCGGAAUUACUGGGCGUAAAGCGCGCGUAGGCGGCUAGAUCAGUCGGGUGUGAAAGCCCCGGGCUUAACCUGGGAACUGCAUCCGAUACUGUCUAGAUUGAGUACAGGAGAGGAGAGUGGAAUUCCACAUGUAGCGGUGAAAUGCGUAGAUAUGUGGAGGAACACCAAUGGCGAAGGCAGCUCUCUGGCCUGAUACUGACGCUGAGGUGCGAAAGCGUGGGGAUCAUACAGGAUUAGAUACCCGUGUAGUC